GCAGGCACUGGUAUGCCCGUACCGGGGUGUCUCGCCCACAACCCACCACUGUGCAAGGGGAACCUUUAUUAUCUACUAUCUAGUUAAUAUCAUCUAGACAUUACUUCCCAAUUUGUUUAAAUUGUUGGUUUUGACAGGCUGUUCUUCUGACUGUUAGGCCAUAGCUCAAGAUGGACUUUGUCAGAACAUUAUGAUUAAUAAGAGAAGACUGAAGGCGGUGGGAUCUAGAUAAAACUAAUUUCUAUGUUGUUCCAAUAUAUGGAAUGCAGACUUAGAAUUAUCAGCAGCUCUGUCCCACAUUUCUCCAGUUUUCGGGAAAGAUCCUAGCAUCUUCAUAACACUUUAGUUUAACAAAGUGCUAUUACUUUAUUUUGUAUUGUUAGUGAACUUUAAUGUAGAAAUAAUGGUAAAACAACUAAGCAACAGGCAUAUUUGUUGUUGUACUAAUGAGUAAAAAAAAAAAUCAGGUAUUGCUAAUAGCUGUUUUUUUUCUUUGUAGGACUUUUCCAAGGAAUUAGAAGCCGUGUUAAAAAUAUUCAUUUCCAAAACUCACACUACAGAGCCAAAGACUUUUGCUUGUGAUUUAGGAUCGCAGCCAAGAGAAACAGUUGCAGCCCAAAGUUAGCUGAAUUGCCAUGUUUAAAAAUUAUUGGGGUUGCAUAUAAAUGCCUUGACAAAAUUGCACUCAGAAUUAGUAUGGAUCUUGUCCUCAAAGAUGAUGUCUCUCCAGUGCACUGUAUUGGAGGACAAGGAAAAAGCCAAGUCGAGCACCUUAAUUAGAACUGCAGGAACAAAACUCCUUUUGUAUAAAAUGUGUGGCUUCCAAGUUCCAGAAUCUUUACAGAAGACGGCUCUACAAUCUUGCCAAUGGAAAAGGCUGAGAAAAGGAUUGACCCAACUUUACUUUGAUAUGAGACUUAAUUUCCUAUGGAGUGUAUCUCUUCCUUUCUCUUUUUCUUGCACUAUAGUAAUGUAGUUUUCUUCUGGAAACCUGCUUGUUUUAUUAUUAAAGAUAAUGGGUGAAAUUA
Non-coding RNA from Thamnophis sirtalis, 1028 nucleotides. The record is from RefSeq and is a predicted model, not a curated record. Lineage: Eukaryota; Metazoa; Chordata; Lepidosauria; Squamata; Natricidae.